Molecule: long non-coding RNA, 1546 nt
Filed under: Cricetulus griseus (Chinese hamster)
Lineage: Eukaryota; Metazoa; Chordata; Mammalia; Rodentia; Cricetidae
Description: lncRNA (ENSCGRG00000024893.1)
Source: RNAcentral
CUCCCUUUUUUCUCCAUUUUUAAUUUAAAUUAGAAACAAGAUUGUUUUACAUGUCAAUCCCAGUUCCCUCUCUUUCCCUUCUUCCCUGAACCCCUUCACCUAACACCCUAUAUAAUCCCAUACCUUUCUGCUCCACAGUGAGGGUGAGGCCUUCUAUAAGGGAUCCUCAGAGUCAGUCCUAUCCUUUGGGAUAGGGCCUAGGUCCUCCCCUGAGUGUCUAGGCUCAGAGAUAUACCUCUAUGUGGUAUGGGCUCCAAAAGUGCAUUCCUAUCUAGGGAUAAGUACUGAUCUACUACAAGAGGCCCCAUAGAUCCCCAAGGUCUCCUUACUAACACCCAUGUUCAUGGUGUCUGGAUUAGUCUCAUGCUGGUUUCUCAGCUUUCAGUCUGGAGAGUAAGAGCUCCCCCUUGUUCAGGUCAGCUGUUUCUGCAGAGUUCACCUGCCUUGUCUUGACCACUUUGAUUAUCACUCCUCCUUCUCUGUAACUGGAUUCUAUUUCAGUUCAGUGUUUAGCUGUGGGUGUCUGCUUCUACUUGCAUCAGCUGCUGGAUGAAGGCUUUAGGAUGGCAUAUAAGUUAGUCAUCAAUCUCAUUAUCAGAAGGGGCAUUUAAGGUAGCCUCUCCUCUGUAGCUUAGAUUGUUAGUUGGUGUCAUCGUGAUAGAUCUCCAGAUAUUUCCCUAGUGCCUGAUUUCUAUUUAAACCUAUAAUGCCUUCUCUAUUGUGUUAUCUCUUGUCUUGCUCUCCUCUAAUCCUCACUUAAAAAAAAAAAUCUCUGAUUGGUACAGAACAAUGAGGAUGUUGCAGUCUCCAAUGUUCAUUUGUGUAUUUCAGGUUCCAGGCCAUCAUAUGAUUCAAAAGUGGAACUAUAUUCAAUACUUUGUGAAGAUAUUUCGUCAAAAGGUCAUGAAAUGUAUGAUGAUGUAUGUUGUGAAGACUACUUUUCAUUGGAUUGUAUGGAAGAUACAGAAUCCAUGAGCAUGAUGAACAACUCAGAUUUUUCCACCAAGAAUCCCAAGUUGCAAAAUGACCACAAAGGUUUUGGAGAAAAUGCCAUUCUGCACCUGAUUUCCCUCCAAAAGGCAAAUGGCUCCUGGGAACUGGAUGAGGAACUGACUGAGAUCCUGGGCACUAGUUUGGAAGACAUAAAGGCUGCAAAUCCUGCCAAGGAUCAGGACCCCUCAGUCUGGGCCACAGUGCUGGCUGUGCUCUGGCUGCAUGCCAAUGGCAAAGACUUGAAGUGUGAGUGGGAACUUCUGGAAAGGAAGGCAGUGGCCUGGCUCCAUGACCAUGCAGACUCCUCCAACCCCAUGCUAGUGCAAGCUGCCAAUAGUUUUCUGAAACUGUCUGUGACUCCCGAUGACCUUGUCUUCUGAGACUGCAACCCAAGAAUCAAGAGUAUCACUUUAUUAUGACUAUGUCCCUCCCAUGUCCCUUGGCAGAGAUAGCAUUUGGUUUUUAUCUUUACCUUUUUCAUUCUUCUCAUAACAAUAAAGGCUAUCUGCCCAGGCUUGCUAAUCUAUUCCAGAGCCCAUUGGAUCUGAUAUAC